This 515-nucleotide ribosomal RNA is filed under the name uncultured bacterium. RNAcentral's name for it is "partial 16S ribosomal RNA". It matches the Rfam family "Bacterial small subunit ribosomal RNA", at positions 28 to 523 of the family's 1533-position model. The record is from RNAcentral.
GAUGAACGCUGGCGGCGUGCCUAAUACAUGCAAGUCGAGCGAAUGGAUUGAGAGCUUGCUCUUAUGAAGUUAGCGGCGGACGGGUGAGUAACACGUGGGUAACCUGCCCAUAAGACUGGGAUAACUCCGGGAAACCGGGGCUAAUACCGGAUAACAUUUUGAACCGCAUGGUUCGAAAUUGAAAGGCGGCUUCGGCUGUCACUUAUGGAUGGACCCGCGUCGCAUUAGCUAGUUGGUGAGGUAACGGCUCACCAAGGCAACGAUGCGUAGCCGACCUGAGAGGGUGAUCGGCCACACGGGGACUGAGACACGGCACAGACUCCUACGGGAGGCAGCAGUAGGGAAUCUUCCGCAAUGGACGAAAGUCUGACGGAGCAACGCCGCGUGAGUGAUGAAGGCUUUCUGGUCGUAAAACUCUGUUGUUAGGGAAGAACAAGUGCUAGUUGAAUAAGCUGGCACCUUGACGGUACCUAACCAGAAAGCCACGGCUAACUACGUGCCAGCAGCCGCCGUAA